RNAcentral lists this long non-coding RNA (3662 nucleotides) under Ananas comosus (pineapple). RNAcentral describes it as "long non-coding RNA (ACOM_LNC019312)". The record is from RNAcentral. Lineage: Eukaryota; Viridiplantae; Streptophyta; Magnoliopsida; Poales; Bromeliaceae.
AAAUUAGAAGAGAAGCUCUUUUUAAUGGCUUUCAAGGUGGCGUAAAACGAACCCAAUAAGCUUCGGUGGCGUAAAACGAACCAAACAAGCUUUAGAUCCAGCAAAAUAUGAGAAAGCUCGCCGAAAAUCGGUGUAAAAGAUCAAUGGCGAGAAAGCAGGAAAAUGCGAGGUAGAGAAUAGGGUUUUAUUCUUAGGUAUGCCCGGGUUCAGGUUGAUCUUAUGCAACCUCCUCUAAUAUAUAUGUAUAUAUAUAUAGAGAGAGAGAGAGAGAAUAUCUAUAUCUAUAUAUAUAGAGAGAGAGAAUAAAAAAUAGACUAAUUAAUUAAGGAGAUUUUCACAUUGUUAGAUACAAAGUUUCUAAUUCUAUUAUGUUUUGAUUAUUCUAUUAAGUUAAAUUUAAAUUAUACUUAAUCUAAUUAAGAUAUUUUCAGUCUUUAUAGAUUUAUAUUUCUAAUCAUAUUAAGAUCUAGCCACUAUUAUAAAUAUAUCUUUUAUUCUAUUUUUUUGGUGCGGCAGAUGAGAGAGAGUAUGAGUGUUUUUUUUUGGAUUAGGAUUUUGUGAGAGAGGCAUAGUUUGUAUACCACUUUAAUUAUAAUGAAGAUCUCCGUUCCGUCUUCGCUCGUGAACAUAGGCCAAUGGCCAAACCACAUAAAUAAUAUAUGCUUUAUUUUUUCUUCUCUCGUUCUCGAUUAUUGUUUGGUAUUUUCUCACCCGACGAACAAGAUCUUUUCCGCUUUAGUUUUAACACACAUAUAUACCGUGGAAAAUAUGUGAAAUUGAGGAAAUAUUUCUCAGAUAAAGUUGGUAAUUAUGUGUACAUCUAUAUCAGUCUAAUUUAUUCUCUCAUGCACAAUGAAUAUCAGGUAAAUCAUAUCACGUGCGCUAACGAAAAAUAUAGGAAAGAGAUAACAAAGUAAUAGGCUUACAGAGUUAUACAUCAUAAAAUGUUGGAGUGGGAAUUGAAUUCUCAACCUUUCAGAACACAAGGAGCUAAAAAAUGAUUGUGAUAUCAUGCUGCCCAAAAGAGUCAUCUAGUAAGAAAUGAUUUACGAAUAUUAGUUGUAAUAAAAGCAUAUUGGCAUAUAUAUAGAUGUGUUUAAAGGGUUUGCAUAUAUAUAUAUAUAUAUAUAUAUAUAUAUAUGCUGUGGCUACUAUAUUCUUAUGAGUAUAGAUCCCCUUGCACUUAUAAAUUUUUAACCGUUGAUUGAUGGGAUGUGUGGUUAGGAUGAUGAUGGUCUCCACUUAGAAUAAUAGUGCUUCCCUAGGGUUGAGUCGGUAGUUGGUUGAAUAGUAUGAUCUAACAGGUGAAAAUGAUCAAUGGAAUAAAUUUAAGAGCCGAAAACUUAUAAGUAUAAGAGAGCCAAUACUUAUAAAAGUAUAGUAGCCGAAAUAUAUAUAUAUAUAUAUAUAUAUAUAUAUAUAAAAUAUCUGCAUGAAAAUACAAACUACUACAAAAAUAUUUGGCAUAGUUUUGCGCAUUUUAGGUGUAUUUAUGCCACAAAAAAAAAACUCCUUAAGUAAAUGGAGGGCCUUCUUUUCAUAUGGGGACAGCAGAGAAAUUGCUAAUUAAGUUGUUUAGAUAUGCACAACUCCCGUUGCUCCUUAAAGUAAGGUUUUUUUUUUUAAAAAAUAAAAUAUCAUUGAAAUUUUUAUUUCCUCAAUAUCAUGUGGUCCUUUUACUGCCUCUGAUUCUCUUGGUAGAAGCAAACCUGUGGUUUUUUUUAGCUGCAUAGGAUUUGAGCUCCAAUGGCUUAGAAAGUAGAGAAGCCAUGUGCAGGGAGUUAAGCUCACCACAUGGCACUAAUUUGCUAAGUACCAAUUAGAAAAGUCCAAAAGAGAUUAAUUUAAGAGAAGGGUUAUAAUUAUUAAAAGCAACAACACUGUACUACUUUCUAAUAAUUUCUUUUUCCAAAGAAAAGGCUCUCCAAAGUCCAAGAAACCAUCUGAUCGAUAAAUUGAAAUAUAUUUUAUUUAGCAGCCUCGAUCGUAGGAUACUAUCUGUUUCAUUUAUUCAGCAAAUGAAUUUAGCUAUAAAAAGUAAGACAACGAUAUUUCAAAUUAUCUGCAGAGAAAACUGCACUGUUCUCUCGGCUAUCUUAACUUACGAAAUUAAGUGCGUUUAAAAGUGAUCUUUUCUCUCUUUCUCUUUACUAUAUUAUUUUUUCUUUCUAAAGGAGAUUAGUUGCUACUCAUUGUCUCUCUUUGGUGGAGGAAACUUUCAUUAGCAAUAUUAAAAAUCUCAUGGUGAAAAAGAAAAGGUUUAAACUCAUCUAUCUUUUGAAUAGUGAAUAGAUAUAUUGGACUCCCCAGAGAGCCAAGCAAUCAAUGGAUGUUUAUUUAUCUAAUUUUUCUUUUUUCCUUUAUUUAUUCUUGUCUUUGCUACCUUCCAGACAAAUAAUUCUAUUCUUGAAACAUAUGUGUGGAAUUCAAAUUGACUUCUUAAAAAGAAGUAAGAUGAGAUAAAAAGUCACUCUCUCCCCUAUCAACAUGAAAUGGCGACCGUCCCUAGCGCAAGUAGCAAAAGAUUUGAUGAUUGGUAUCCGAGAUCCCAAGUUUGAAUUCUAAUUGAUUCAUAUUUUCAGCUACGUUUAUUUUUAAAUAAAAUAAACGAAGUGGGUAGUAUGCUACCUAUCUCUCUCUCAAAAAAAAAAAAAAAAUCAAAUGGUGCUUAAAACUUAAAAUCAUUGUGGCUACUGGCUAGCUAGUUAGUGGUAUGCCCACUCAAAGUUCUUCUUCUUUUUAUUUUUUAUUUUUAACUAUAAAACAUAGGAUAAUUCUAUGUACAAAUCAUUAAUUAAUAGGAAAAGAAAAAUUUACACAGUAGCAACUCUGCUAAGAUCACCCCAAAUCCUGUGGAAACUAUAAAUGAAGUCAUUUUAUAAUUAAUUAGAUUAGAAUUAUUUUACUUAUUAGAUUAGAACAUAUACUUUAUCUGAGAUAUCUAAUAGAUUAGGGAUAUUUUUUGAUUUAUACUAUUCUUACUUAGUUUUCAUAUUAUAUUAAUUAAGACAAUUAUAAUAAUUCUAGGCCUAUAAAUAAAGUUCUUCCUUUUGUAAAUAAUGAUCAAUUUUAUUAAUAAAGAAGUUAGCUCUUUUUAAUGGCUUUUCUUGGCUAAGCUAAAUUAGAAGAGAAGCUCUUUUUAAUGGCUUUCAAGGUGGCGUAAAACGAACCCAAUAAGCUUCGGUGGCGUAAAACGAACCAAACAAGCUUUAGAUCCAGCAAAAUAUGAGAAAGCUCGCCGAAAAUCGGUGUAAAAGAUCAAUGGCGAGAAAGCAGGAAAAUGCGAGGUAGAGAAUAGGGUUUUAUUCUUAGGUAUGCCCGGGUUCAGGUUGAUCUUAUGCAACCUCCUCUAAUAUAUAUGUAUAUAUAUAUAGAGAGAGAGAGAGAGUUGAGCUAUGAUACUUUUACAAGUAUCAUCAUCAUGGUGCUAUUAGGUUUAAGCCAUUGGAUCUACUUUUUGAUUAUUAAUAGCCCUUGGAUUAAACACUAUUCCACCUACCACCACCUACCACCACCUACCACCAUCAUCUCAACCUCACAUCUCUCCAUCCAAGGGCUAAAAACACACAAGUAUCACCCCCAUGAUACUUUUACAAGUAUUCUAGCCCUACUCUACACAUAUAUAUAUAUAUAUAUACACACACACACACACACACAUAUAU